AGCUUUUUACGGGUAAUUUUAGUACGCAGCAAUAAUUAAACAAGUUCUCGAUGUAACAGAAUUGGCAUCAAACCAUUUUUUUUCCUAAUUAGUCAAUUAAAUUGAAGAAUAGCUGCAGCCCUAGUUUUAUUGGAACCCAAAAAUAUAGCUACCCAUAUAAAGAUAGGCUCUAUACCUCAAACCUGAAAUAUGAAUAUUACUGACUAUAAUAACUCUUUAGUGUUAACUGUUGAAGGAAAAGUAGCAUUCCUAUUUAGGCUAUUUUCAGAUUACAGUUACAGACUUAAUCAUUUUGUCAUUUCACCUAGAUAAUUCACAAAGAGCCAAGGACAUCACAAAGAGUAUUGCCAUGAUGAUCGUGAAGGACCUACAACCCCUCUCUGUGGUUGAACAGGAGGGUUUCAAGAAUUUAAUAAAGACACUUGAUCCCCGCUACAGGAUGCCAAGUGAUUUCUCACGGCAGCUAGGAGCACACACAGGGAACAAGUGGAGCAAAUCCGCUUUCUUCUCGUUCUCCAAACCAGCAGACAGUUGGCAGUAUGUGGUUUAUAGACCUGGCAGGAAGUGAAAGGGCAUCAGACACCAAAAAAACAAACAGACACAGUCGCAUAGAAGGAGCUGAGAUCAACCAAAGUCUCUUAGCAGUAAGCUAAGUAAGUGAUAUGUUAACACACACAAAGAGCUCAAAUACAGAAACAAAGGUCAUUGUAUUUACCUUUUAUUUGUUUAAAGCUCAAAGAAUUGUAGGUGCAAUGGGUCGAGUGCUGCUUAGGAGCACUCGGUGUUA
Molecule: long non-coding RNA, 787 nt
Organism: Cynoglossus semilaevis (tongue sole)
Lineage: Eukaryota; Metazoa; Chordata; Actinopteri; Pleuronectiformes; Cynoglossidae
Exons: 3
Source: RefSeq, a predicted model, not a curated record